Molecule: ribosomal RNA, 120 nt
Filed under: uncultured bacterium
Lineage: Bacteria
Description: partial 16S ribosomal RNA
Rfam family: Bacterial small subunit ribosomal RNA
Source: RNAcentral
CACACAGUAAACGAUGAAUACUCGCUGUUUGCGAUAUAAUGCAAGCGGCCAAGCGAAAGCAUUAAGUAUUCCACCUGGGGAGUACGCCGGCAACGGUGAAACUCAAAGGAAUUGACGGGG